RNAcentral lists this long non-coding RNA (27244 nucleotides) under Prunus persica (peach). RNAcentral's name for it is "long non-coding RNA (PPER_LNC001936)". Lineage: Eukaryota; Viridiplantae; Streptophyta; Magnoliopsida; Rosales; Rosaceae. The record is from RNAcentral.
UUUAUGUUGUGAUUCGACUGCUGCUGUAUUUUAGAUUUAUAGGAACAGACCAAACAUGUUGAUUCUAUCACCAAAAUUAUAAAGUAUACUUCCAUUACAAUUAAUUUGUUGAUUCUAAUUUGGACUUGUAGGAACAGACCAAACAUGUUCAUACGUGGCAUUGCUCAAGUCAUCAUCAUUCGGGACAGAGAAUAAGCCUUCAAAUGUCUGCUGAGUCAAUGAACCUUUCUAGAUAUCUCAAGUGUAAUGGAAAUUGAUGAGUUACAAAGGAUUUGUAAACAUUUUCUACUGGAGGCUAGAAAUGCUUCAAAUAAAUGACUCUGUUGCAAUUAUUUUGUAGGAUCAAAGACUCUGCAAAGAGGUAAGAAAGUCAUCAUCAAGUAACUUCGCUCUUCAUACUUUUUAUUAGGGGUGGGCAUUGGAACCGCAAAACCGCAAAACCGAACCAACCCAAUCCGAAAAAAACCGAAAAAAACCGUGUUGACCGAAAAAGUCAAAAACCGAGACAAAUCCAAACCGAACCGGUUCAGACCGGUUCCGGUUCCGAUUUUCCACCUUAAGGAACCGGUCCAAUCCGAACCGGUCCAAUAUAAUUAAUUUUUAUAUUAUAUUUAUAUUUAUAUUUAAAAUAUCAAAUUUUGUAGGCCCAAACCCAACUAUUUCAUUAUACCAACAAAAAGCCCAAAUCUCCCAAGUCCAUUGCCCAAGUCCAACAAGCCAUAUUUUAAUAUCCUAAUCACAUCAAAUCUCACUUCACUCUCUCUCUCUGACGCACUCUCUCUUUUCCUCUCAGAUUUUUUUUACUCUCUUUUUCUUUCUUUCUUCUCUCUUCCGCCUCUUUUCCUCUAGGUUCUUUAACUUCUUUUUACUUCUUUCUUUCUUCACUCUUCUGCCUCUUUUCCUCAGUUUUUUCUUCUUCUUUCUCUCUUAUUCUUUCUCCUCUCAAUUCGUCUCCAUUUUUUUUCCCUCUCUUUCUCUGAUUUUCUGUUACUCUGAUUUUUUUCUUCUUGGUUUUAUGUUUCUCUCUCUCCCUCUAUAUCUCUUUCUUUGCAACUCUGUUUUUCAAUUUCUCCUUUUUUUUCUCUCUUCAUUUUUUGUUUCUCUGUACAUAUAUGUGUUCAUCUUGUAGAUCUGGGUGAAAUUCUUGUAGAUCUAGGUGAAGUUCUUGGAGAUCUGCGUUAAGUUCUUGUAGAUCUAGGUAAAGAGCCAAUUCAAAGCAGGUCAGCGUCUCUUAUCUCCCCAAUCCCUUGUGAAGAUAUGUAUUUUUUUUGUUGUCAACAAUCCAUUUUGGUGUUUUUAUAUGGUAUUGAUAUUUUCUAUGAUUUUGGGCUGAUUUGAGGUCUGAUUCUUUUUUUUUCUUUCAAUUUUUUCCUGUUGUGUUUUGAUAGACAUGUUCUCUAUUCCUGAUAUCAUUCCUCAGUGGCAAAAUCUUUGAGCGUUGUUGUAAAUUUUAGACGGGAAAGAAGCUCAUUCAUAAUUCAAAAAAAGAAAAUAAAGUUACAACAACUGACAAUUUGUUGCUCUUUGAAAUAGGUACUGAAGUAGCAUGGAUAAAAAGAAAGACUGAAGAUGUUGCAGAAGAUUGAAUAUGUUCUAUUUCUGUAAUUUGUUUGUAAUUAAAUUUGUUUAUUUUGUUUUGUUUUUAGGUUGUAAGUUUUAUUUUAAUGUUUGAUAUUUGUUGUUUUGUCAAAAAAUUGUAUUAAUGCUUGAUGGAUUCAUUCAAUUUGCAGUGCGUGGAUGUGAAUUGGGCCAAUCGGUAAUAAUUAGGCCCAAAAGGUUUUAAAUAUCAAUUGGGCUGAAACUUACAAAAAAAUUUAAGAACAAAAAAAAAAUCAAUUAAGCUGUGUGUCGGCCCAAACCGUAAAAACCGGAACCGAACCGGAUUCAAAUGGGUUCGGGUUGGUCCGGUUUUCUCAAGCAUUUUAGUAAAAAUCCGAACCGGACCGGACCGGUGAACAGUACCGGUUCCGGUUUUAAAUUGAUGCAAAAACCGGUCCAAACCGGACCGUGCCCACCCCUAUUUUUUAUUUUUAUUUUUAAAUAUCAGUAAUAACUGGGAAAGCUUGCAUCUCCUUAAAUUGCUCAUUCUUACAUCUUUUAUAGUUUGUUGAUCUUGGGCAAGUGGAGAGAGAGGCGUCAAGUGAUACGCAACAACCAUUUUCUGUGAGCUGAUUUGAUAAAGAGAAAUGGUAUGCUUUCUUGUCUUAAGCGGUGUGUUCUGCAAUUAUUUGAAACAAAGGAUGCCGCACUUCAAGUUCGAGAAAAUCAGGUAUUUUAGUAUUUUAUUCUUGAGAAAUUUGAUUUAUGUAGAAACUUGAACAUGUAAAUGAGAGAAAAAAAAAUAAAUAUAUAUAUAUAUUAUAUAUUGUAUAUGCUGUUAAUGAGUUAAUAUGGUGCUUGCUCCUAGUUGGAAAUUUAUGUAGUCAUCUACCUAUGAUCAAAUAAAGAUGAAAAAUAAAAUAAAAUUGAGAGCAUCUUCCUCUCCCCUGCUUUGCUCAUCCCUUGUUCUUCCACUUCAGCCCCACUAUUACACCAUUUUUUUCAGCCACAAUUAUAAUAGCUCCAUGAGCAUUAAGUCCCUUUCAAAUUCUGCUGACAUUCAAAAUUGGAAUCUGCUGGUGAUAUAUGAUAGCGUUAACAUAUUGUACCAUUUUGGCCAGUGUACGCAAUAUUAUUGCAUCCAACUUUGCAUAUUAACAUCAGUGGCCACAGUUACACGAUUUGAGUGCACAGAAAGGUUUCAAAAGUUGUCCCACAGAGAACAGUCGUUCAAAGUGAGAGAGUUUUGAAAGCUUAAUUACAAGUUCAUGUUGUUUACAACCUCAAAAAGCUUUCAUACUUGCUUACAAACCUGUAUUUCCAAGUUCUGCAAACCUUGGAAUAUCACUUCAUCCAAAUCCCCUUCCAAAGCAGGAAAAAAUGGCAGCAGCUUUGAUUGGAGAGGCUCUCAUCUCUGCUUCUAUCGAGGUGUUGUGUGACAGAGUUACUUCAGCCGAGUUCAUAGACUUAUUUCAGCAGAAGAAACUUGAUGAAACACUCCUCAUGAACCUGAAGACGACACUGUUGAUUUUGUUUGCGGCGCUCAAUGAUGCAGAGGAGAAGCAAAUUGUGAACCCUGCUGUGAUAGAGUGGCUUAACAGCUCAAGCAUGCUGUCUUUGAUGCAGAGGACUUACUUGAUGAGAUUGACACUGAAGCUUUGCGAUGCAAGCUGGAAGGUGAGGAUCAAACCCACAAUAAUUAACCAACAAGGAUCUUUUUGAUUGUUUGAAAGGAGGGUCUUUGAUGAUUUGAAAGGAGAGGGUUGCUUCAUUUCUGUUGGAUGCUUAAUUAAAUCUUAUCUGGACUUGAACAAGGAUUAGGUUAGCUGUAUAAUUCGUGGUAAACACCUUUUUCUAAGGUUCAUUUAGACUCCUAUUACGAUUAAUUUGUUGUUUCUAAUUUGGACUUGUAGGAACAGACCAAAUAUGUUCACACGUGGCAUCGUUCAAGUCAUCAUCAUUUCAGACAAAAUCAGCCUUCAAGUGUCUGCUGACUCAAUGAACCUUUCUAGAUAUAUCAAGUGCAAUGGAAAUUCAAGAGUUACAUAGAGAUUUGUAAACAUUUUGAAGAUUGCAACACCUGCAAGUGAGAUAGGUGGUGACGAAAUCAGAGCUGAUCUUGAAGCCUCUGAUGCCCCUGUCGUUGCAAGUUGCACCUGAGAACAUGGUUUUUUUUUGGGUAAAAAACCAGCAACAUGUUCGGGGCUGGCAAUUCAAUCCCUGAUGAACUUGAGAAGCAAAGCUCCAGUAAGGAAAUUGGUCGAGGUCACGACAGGGAUAAUUGAUGGUGAAAUGGAUGCUAUUUCUUAUUGCAGCCUGUUCUCAAAGUUCUUGUUGGCAAAAGCAAGAGAUGGAGUAUUUUGAUUGGGAGGAGAGAUAAUGACAUGUGUUGACAAUUCUAGAACAGCCCAUCUGAGUUCUUUUGUCAGGCUGCAUCAUUUAAUCCCAGCAAAAAUCCAGUUUUUGCUAAACAAUCAAAUUGUACACAUUUUUUCUUUUCGAGGAAUUUAACAUUACACAUUUUUUCAUUUUUUCAUCAAACAGUUUUCUAAUGCAUUUGUUGUCCCAAGUUACAAUGAGGAAUUUGGAUUGAGUUUCUUGUGUUAAUAACAUUAUACUUUCAUGGAAUGGUUUAUCUUCUUUUUCUGGACAAAAAUAUUUAGAUUAAUUUCUUGGAAUAAUUUUUUAAUAAUUUUUUAAUUGCAGUAGCGAAAAAAGGAAAAUUGUAUUUUUCAAAACCAAUCUUAAGUCCAGUUUCCUCUUCUUGGUCGUCACACUUGGAAAUUGCUAACCAUAUAUAACUUGGGGUAACAAUCUUAGUCCGAAUGUGUACGAUCUUAGUCCGAUCAAUGGCUACGCGUAUUGGCUCGGCCUUGGGGUCUACCAUUCCAGUGUACAAGCUUCCUGGGUCUUGGGGCAAUUCCUUCAAAUUGUACACAUGUUUUCUUUGAGAAGCAAGGCUCUAGUAAGGAAAUUGGUUAUGUAACAAAUUUUGGUCCCUUUGGAUGGAAUGAUUUACAAUGAGGAAUUUUAUUAUUAUUAUUUUGUUUUUGUUGUUAGUGUAAUGAAAAUGAUCUAGGUUCAUACACUGGGUAUAGCUCUAAUUUGGCCAAUUUCAUUAUUUUAGUUUCUUCAUAUUUUCAAUUAUUAUAAUUUGGUGCGUUGUUUUUUAAAAACAUUCAUGAGAAUCUCCAUUUUUUAGGUGUUUAAGUUAUUCAUCCACAACGGUUUUAUAAUACCGUCAUCUUUUCAAACACAACGAUGAUUUUUUAAUCUAUCGUCGUUGUUUUCUGAUCGUCUUUUUCACUUUUUGUAGUAGUGUCAAUAAGUAAGAUGAAAUAAUACAUUCACAAUCUGUUUAAAUUUUAAAUUAAAAAAAACACAAGAAAAUUUUAAAUAAGUAAGUAAUUUUAAAUAUAUAUUUCCAUUGUUUUGGUUUUCUUUUCAUAUUAGUUUUCUACUAGCUGCUAAUUUCAUUUAAAUUGUUUUUCUUACUUCAUUUAACUUUUAAGCAUGCAGAUGCAAUCAUGACUUCUUCUUUUUUUCAAUAGACUGAUUCUCUUCCCACAUAUAUAAUGCUCUCUAAGUAUUCGUAAUAUGAGUAGGAAUUUAUUUUCAUUUCACAAGAAUUGUCCAUCAAAUUCUGAUAGGUUUGUCGAUAGCACAAGCAUGCACAUAUAGACACUACAAGAACUUUGUUUCUUCAUUUUGUUUCCUAAAGAUUUGUUGGCUUCGUGCAGAUGAAUAACAAGUCUCUCUGUCCUCUAUUUCUUCUUUUUCUUUUUUAACAAUUCAUAUUCUACUUUCUGUUUUCACCCAGUAAAAAUUGAUUUUAGACAUGGGCUUCUAAAUUAUGUGCGGAUAAUGGUUGCAUUUAUAGAAUAUCCAUGGGCUUCUAGUCACCGUGGUUGUUGAUUCAGCAUGUCAUAUUACUCUUGGACUAGCUGUUGACACUACUACAUUUUACACUUUGCGCGACGAAGAACAAAACGUCGCGCAAAGUCGCAUUUAGUCGCCCCAAUUUCAGCGCGACAAAAACGUCGUCGCGCAUAUUCCGUCGCGCGAAGAUCGUGAAGAAAGCCUUUGCACGACGAGGUACAACCCUUCGUCGCGCAAAAGUGUGCGACGGGUAAACCAUCGUUGCACCAACGGUGUGGAGACGAAACAACCCUUCGUCGCAAAAAUAUUUGCGCGACGAUAAAUUAUGCGGCGCACGUAUAUUUGCGAGACGACGGGAAUUGCGCGACAAAACAUUAUUCGUCGCGCAAAAUAUGUAUGGGAGACGUAUAUGUUCGUCGCAGAACAAUUCGCGCGAUGAGAAAGUUUUCGUCGCACAUAUAAUUGCGCGACGAAAAAUUAUGUCGUCGGCCAAAUAUUUUGCGCGACGAAACAUUUCGUCGCGCAAAACGUGUUAUGUGUUCGUCGCGCAUGAAUUAAAAGUGAUAAAAAAAUAUUUGAUUUUUUUUUGUUACAUGUUGGUUUGCGCGACGAAAGAUUUUCCGUCGCGCAAAAAUAAUAUUACAAUUUUUUUUUUAUUUAUAUUUUUUAUUUGAUAUAAAAUUGGUUUCUUUUUAUUGAUUAAACAAUGAAAUUGCAAUAAAAAUAAAUUAGAAUAAAAUUUUGUUAUAAAAUAAAAUAAAAUAAAUGUAUUACAAAUAAAAUAAAUACACUAAUCAAAUAAUGAAUCAAAAUCAACCGAGUCGUCGCCAGUAUGCGGCUCGGAGGGCGGGGCGUUCACCGGGGCAGUGGUCUGGUGGGGAUGCCCGGGAUGGACGGGCUCAGAGGUCGGCGCAUCAAAAUGCGGGACUGGAAUGCCGGACUGUGCGAGGGACUGCAGAAUGACCGACAUCUGGCUCUGAAGAGUGGCCACCUGUGCUGUCAAAGCAGUGACCUGACUGUUUGACUGCGCCGAUGAACGAGGUCGAGGUUCCCUCCGCCGGGCAUUCCCCAUCCCUCGACAAUAUGUCCCCGGCCUCCUCCCGAGAGUCUGAUCCAACGUCUCCGUCAAUAUCUGAAAUCCAGCAUCCUGUGGAGGAGCCACAGACUCGAUCGGAGUCUCGGGAGGAAGCUGGGAGGCGGACUCCUGAAGAACAAGCUGGCUCCUCUCCACCAUCGUCGUCUGUUGAACAUAACAUAAAAUAUAAAUUAAAACAUGCAUAUAAAUUGAAUGCGUAACAUAAGAAUUAAAAUUAAAUAAUACUUACAUGAAGGGACUCGGCCAACUCAUUCCCGGGUCGAACAUAAACGUCACCAAAGACGUCGAUCUCUGGGAACUUGGACCCCUCCUAAAUUGAACAAGAGAAGAAAAAUAUUAGUAUGAAAAAAAUAAAUUAAUAAAAAUGACAUUAAAAAUGAAAUAAAAAUUUUGUGAUUAUUACCCGACGCCGUGCAUCCAUCCUAUAAGAAAAGGGUCUGGAGCCGGAAUGGUGGAGAAGGGUCUUCUUCUUCCUAUUACCCUUAUUCACUUGGGCUUUAUUCUGUUAUACAAAAAAUGAAACGUAUUAGUUAAAAUAUAAAAAAUUAAAUAAUAAUGAAAUAAAAAAAUAAAAUAAACAUUAAUAAGUAAUAAGUAAUAAUUAAACAAAUAUAAUUAAAAAAAUACCGCAAAUUCGGGCGCUUGAAAAUGAGCGCAGAGCCACUCCCAACUAUCCUCCCGCCCCUCAAGCUCCUUCGGGCAACCCUCCUGAAGAGCGACUUGCGGAUCAUCAUAGGCCUGAAAAUGGUGGUGCAAGUCGCUCUUCCACUGCUUGUACCUCUCAGCGAAGAGUCGGUUGACGUACGUCAACGACUCUUCGUCGAGAUCCUCCAAGUUAUAGUUCGUCUGCAAUCAAUUAAUUAGAUACGUUAAGUAAUAGAAAUAUACACAAUUUUAAAGAAAAAUAAUGAAAAUGUAAGGUACAUACCGACAACUGGCCGUGAAUCUCCGCCUGGAUCUCGUCAGGCAUGACCCUCCAAGACUUCCAUUGCAUCGGGCAAUGGGUCCGCACGACGUGGCCAAUGUCGUGGGCCAAGGAGCUAUGCAACUUCGCCGUCGGUGCAGCACGAUGGCGCUCGUCGUAUCCGAUGCUGAUACGACUGUUGGUCACCCGGGUGACCUUCGCCGUCUUCAGCUGACGACACGGUCCUCGGGUGUUCCUCUUCGCUGCAAAGAAAUAAGGUAUUAAUGUUAAAUAAAAAAACAUUGUCAAAUUUCAAUAUAAAAUUAACAAUACAAAAGUGUAGUUAUACCUGGCUGUGAUCCCGAGGCACCAGUACCGUCGGUCGAUGUCGUGUCGAUGGUGUCGGUGGGCCGGUGCCGCCGCCUAGCACUAGCUGGUUGCGCCACGGAUGACGCAGAUGACACAGGCGCCUGGGGCGCCCCGGGACCAACCACCACGUGGUCCAACAAAGCAGGAGCAGUGGCAGCAGAUGCCGACUGAGCCAGGGGAUCCGAACUCGGUGCAGUCGUCAUCGACCUACCACGUCUAAUCAAGUCUGACAUCUGCACAUAUAAUUUCAUUCAGAAUGUAAACUAAUUAAUUAAAAGCAUAGCCUGACCUAGGGUUUGGAAUUUCGGAGUAUCCGGGACUCCGAUCAACGAUCGGUCGAAUCCUAAACGAUCCUAGAAACACAAAGGUACAACUACGCGAGUUUCAGUUCGAUCCAACGGUCCGAACAUAUCAAACCUGGAAAUCGCACAAUAGGCGAAAUUCGAUCAAGACUCAAACGGUAACCAAAUUCAAAUCCGAGCAAACCUACGCGCUCGUGACAAACAGGGGAUCGCUCUGGGACACAAUGCCCCACUGCCACAGCAUCCCACGCGCCGGCAGCGCGUGGGUGUCCAAAGCGAUAACAUUCGCCGGAAAAUUCUAAAAACUAACGGCCAAGGUUCCUACCCUAGGUUGAAAACAAUAUUUGGCGCCACUUUUGUUCUCGGACCUACCCCGAAAAAUGGCCGGAAGUGGCCGGAUUUGAAAUUGCCAAACCGGCCAAAACCUAGGGUUUUAAUUCCUAUUUCCUAUACCCAUCAGCUAGAGCACAAAAAAUAGUCGAGAAAUCAUACCUCAGGCGUCGGAAAUGGUGGCCGGAGGAGAGAGAAAACGGCCGGCGAGGAAUCGGUGAAAAACCGACGAUGUGCGACGGCAGGCUCGACGGCGAAGGCAGGGGAGGCUAUGGCAGGAGCGGCGGUGGCUGAGGUGACGGCGGAGAGAGAGGGCUGAGGUGACGGCGGAGAGAGAGGCAAACGGAGGAAAAAACCAGAAAUGGGGAAGAAGGAGGCAUCGCGACGUUUCUGCAAAUUUUUACGACUUUGCGCGACGAAUCACAUCAUUCGUCGCGCAAAAUGCUAUUAAUGAAUCUUGCGCGACGCUAUAUCCGUCGCGCAAGAUCUGUCAGAACGCCAAAUUCUGAAAGUGGAUUAGGGUCUGUAAGUUUUGCGCGACGAAAUAGACAUACUUCGUCGCGCAAAAGGCUGUCUUUCCGCCAAAAUUUUGGGAUUUAGGGUUUAGCGGGAGGCUGAAACUGAAGGGUUUGCGCUUUUGCGCGACGAAGACGGUAAACGUCGCGCAAUGGUAACCUUGCGCGACGGAACGUAUUAUAUUCGUCGCGCAAAAGGCUAUCUUUCCGCCCAAAUUUUGGGAUUCAGGGUUUAGCGGGAGGCUGAAGGGUUUGCGCUUUUGCGCGACGAAGACACUAAACGUCGCACAAAAGGCUGUCUGCUGAAAUGAAUGGUUUCUGCUUUUGCGCGACGAAGACAAUAAACGUCGCGCAAAACGUUGUCGUUCCGCCAACAAUUUGGGGUUUAGGGUUUAGUGUGAAAACUGGCGCCCAGAUUGCGCGACGAAGAGUACAUAUUUCCUUCGCGCAAUCUAUUUCACUUUCACUUUGCGCGACGGAUAUGUUGGUUCGUCGCGCAAUCUUCAAGAUUUUCAUUGAAAUUUUCACUAAGUGUUCAAAGGGGAUGGAGGUGUGAAAACUGGCGCCCAGAUUGCGCGACGAAGAGUACAUAUUUCCGUCGCACAAUCUAAUUCACUUUCACUUUGCGCGACGGUUAAAUUGUUCGUCGCGCAAAAUGUAGACCCUAAACCCCCUUGUAAACCCUAAACCCUGAACCCUAAGCCAUAAACCCUAAACCCUAAAAUAGUUUCAAUGAUCCAACCGGCAAACUUAUUGUUUGAAACUUGGAGAUCAUAUACGCCAAAAAUCAAGAAGACCAAACAUUCAGAUAUCAGGGAACGGGACUAAAUAUUUCGACGGUUAUAAAUGAAAAGUCAUGAUUUAACGGUUAUUGUAACUCCGAUUUUGAUCAAUUUUGACAGCAGCAUUUGUUGACCCUAUAUGAAUACAAUGACUGAAUUUGAUCUUCAAUUUCAGAUUUUUACACUAGGGGAUACCACAUAAACGUGAAGUUACAUUUGCACAAAUGUAUAAACAAAUUUUAGGGUUUUUGGUGAAUAUAUGAUUUUGAUAGCACAUGCAGUCUACGAAACAAGUUUCAGUCAUCCAGCCGUCAAACUUGUUUUUUUAGACUUCGAGAUCAUAGACAGCAAAAAUCGGACAAAAAAAACAUUCAGAGAUUAAGCAACGGGGUAAAACUUUUCGACGGUUCUAAAUAAAAAGUGAUGAUUGAACGGUUAAUUUAACUCCGAUGUUGAUGAUUUUUUGCAGCUACAGUCCUACACUCCAUAUGAAUACAAUGAACUACUUCGAUCGCCAAUUUUAAAUAUAUAUGUGUGUAUAUAUUAUACUAUAACGUUACCUAAUAUAUAUUUGCGCGACGAAAGUUUGCUUAUCGUCGCGCAAAAAUGCCAUACGCGACGCAUGUAUAUAUGCGUCGCGGAAACUAUGCGCGACCAGUUGUAUUCGUUGCGCAAACAUUACGCGACGCUUAUGUAUGCGUCGCGUAUGGUAUGUUUGCGCGACGAUAUGGAGCCCUUCGUCGCGCAUGGAUUUGGCGCCAUAAAUCCUCAUUGAUUUCAAAUUGUGUAUGCUUUGUAUUUUUUAGAAAGGUUUUGUAUUCAUCAUUUUUUAUGCUUUGUAUUUUGUGGAAAGGCUUUGAAAUAUUCAUUUCUUUUGUUAUUUUUAUUGAAGCUUUAACUUGUUCUGUUCCGCAGAAAAUUCCAAUGAAGUUUGUGAUGAAAUAUGGAGAAUGAAUACACAACUACAUAUGGACAACUACACAUAUUCAAAGAUUUGUAUUACACAAAAUUAAUACACUAACAUAAUAAAUUUACAAAUAAAUUCAUUAUUCAUCAUCUGAACUAUAAUAACUUUCGUUAUCGUCGCUAGCUUUAACUUGUUCUGUUCCGCAGAAAAUUCCAAUGAAGUUUGUGAUGAAAUCUGGAGAAUGAAUACACAACUACAUAUAGACAACUACACAUAUUCAAAGAUUUGUAUUACACAAAAUUAAUACACUACAUAAUAAAUUACAAAUAAAUUCAUUAUUCAUCAUCUGAACUAUAAUAACUUUCGUAUCGUCGCUAUCAUCACUCUCGGUCUCCCAAUCUUCUUCCUCCUCCUCCUCUAUAACUGCAUCAUCGGCGUUGCUAGGGCCCACUGCAACAUCGUAUCGGGGAAGAUCACCGAGGUCAAUUGUAAUUGACUGAAUCGGUAUUUCGACUGAAGACACUCCUUCUAUUUGAAACGGUUCUUGUAUAACAUUUGUAUCUCGAAGUGUUUCCGCAUCAUUUUCCAUUGAAGAUUCUAAACGAUGGUCAGCCACAUUGUCGACGUCGUUGUCACUUGGGUCUAGUUCUGGUAUAUUAUACACGUUCCUAUGAUCCAUCUUCUGCACAACUUUCCACCCGUUCCCGGCUUUAGGGUCAUCUAGAUACACAAUUUGGGACGCCAUGUUUGCCAAAAUGUACGGGUCGUCAUCAUACCAAGUUCUGUUAAUAUUCACAGACAGUACUCCAUGGUCGAUUUUAACACUUCCCGCCCUAUUUGGGUUGGUAUCGAACCAUCGACACUUAAACAUGAUGACUUGGUAUCGAUCUUUGUAAAGCAAUUGCACGACAGUUGUCAGUUUGCCAUAGAAAUCAAUGUCUGUACUUUCGCCUCCACCUGGGACAUGAACACCGCUAUUUUGCGUACACAACUUGUCAUCUCGUGCGGCCCCUAAAAAUUUGACGCCGUUAACAUUACAACCCGAGAACAAUUCAGCGCGAAUUGGGCCGAACGCCAAGUUAUAUAACUCAUCACUGUAAGUGGGGGAAUUCGAUGAUUUCAAUUUAUUCACCUAAUAGUAUACAAAACCAUUUACAUGUUAGUCUGACAAAAUUAAAUACUAAAAUUUAUAUUUGUCAAUUACAAAACACUUAUAACUUACAGAAUCCAAAAACCAUUGUGGAAAUAAUUCACGGUGUUUCCGGGCAACCAAAUGUGAUGGAUGUUCUCGCUUCAUCAUCUGUUCAUGCUCAUCUAAGUAGGCCAUUAUCUCAUCACAAUUGUUCAGUACGAACCAAUGCGCUACCUCCAUGUCAUUUCUAGAAAACGACUCUCCUCGUCCAGGAUCUCCAAAUGGUCGUGCGCUUUGGGCAAAAACAGAAAGUUUUUCAUUUCUCAUACCUCCGUCAUUAUUGCGGUGAGGACGAUUGAAAACCGUCUCCACAUCUUUUAAAUACAUUCCACAGAAAGUAAGCGACUCAUAUUGAACCCAAGCCUCUAUAAUUGAUCCUUCGGGCUUUGCCCUGUUGCGUACACUUUUUUUCAGCUCUCCGAGAAGCCUGCCAAAAUAAAACGAUAUGAUACAAAUUAGCAAAGUGUCGAUAAUGAUGCAUACACAAAUGAUAAAGAUUAUAUACCUUUCUAUUGGAUACAUCCAGCGAUAGUUGACAGGACCAGCAAGCAAUGCCUCUUCUGGCAAGUGAACCAUCACGUGCAUCAUACUUAUAAAGAAAGCUGGAGGAAAUAUCAUCUCAAACUUGCAUAGGACUUGGACAAUGUCAUGGCGCAACUGAAACAUGUCUGUCCUUCGCAAUGUUUUUGCCGUCAGUUGGGAAAAAAAUCUGGAUAACAACAUGAUUGGCUUCACCACAUCUUCCGGCAGUAAGUGUCGAAUACCCACAGGAAGUAGGCGUUGCAUGAACACAUGGCAGUCAUGGCUCUUAAGUCCAGUAAAUUUACCCCCAUCGACAUUCACGCAACGUGCGAUAUUAGAAGCAUACCCAUCGGGAAAUUUGACAGACGAUACAAACUUUAGAAACUCCUUUUUGUCAUUCGGUUUCAUAGAAAAGAAUGCAAGAUCCCUUCUAGCUUUAUCACUGUCCCUAUUCAUCCAUAAACCCCUUCGUAUGCCCAUUCUUUCCAAAUCAAGACGAGCUUUGAUCGUGUCCUUCGUCUUCCCCUCGAUAUCUAGAAUCGUGCCCACCAAUGUGUCGAAAACAUUUUUCUCAACAUGCAUCACAUCUAGAUUGUGCCUCAAUUUCAGUUUCGACCAAUAUGGGCGCUCAAAAAACAUAGACUUGUGCGUCCAGUUCAAAUGUGUAGAAGGUCGGGUCCGACUAACUGUUUUCCCGAACGGAGCAAAAUCCAAACGGUUCAGCUGUUCCAAGAUCUCAUCACCGGACCAUUCUCUAGGUCUGAGGCGACGCUCUGUGUUCCCGUCGAACUCUUUAUCUUUUUCUCGCCACUCGUGGUCCCAUGGCAACCAUCUCCGAUGACCAAGGUAACAAACUUUUCCCGCGUGCCAACCAGAAGUUACAUCUUCCUUGCAUACAGGACAUGCCAUAUAACCCUUUGUGCUCCACCCAGAAACCAUUGCAUAUGCUGGAAAAUCAUUCACAGUCCACAUAACUGCUGCUCGCAAAGUGAACAUCCUCCCAGUUGAUUUAUCGUACGUGCGAACACCGUUUGUCCAUAAAUCCUUCAGCUCAUCAACCAGAGGCCUUAAGUACACAUCAAUUGACCUGCCAGGAUCCUCAGUUAUCAAAACAGUCAUCAUCAUGUAUUCUUUUUUCAUGCAUUUCCAAGGCGGCAAAUUAUAUGGGAAUGCGAAAAUCGGCCAAGUGCUGUGGUGUUGGUUUAGAACCCCAUACGGAUUGAAUCCGUCAGUGGCAAGUCCCAAUCUAACAUUUCGGGGAUCAGCAGCAAAUUCGGGGAACGUUCGAUCGAACUCUUUCCAUGCCUCCCCAUCUGCAGGAUGCCGCAUCACAUCAUCGUCUACCCGUUUUUCCUUAUGCCAUCUCAUGUCUGUGGCAGUAUGCGUUGACAUAUACAAUCGCUGCAACCUAGGUUUAAGGGGCAGAUAACGCAUGACUUUUUGUGGUAUCUUAGUCGUUCUAUUCUGGGAUGUCAGUUUGAACCUCGACUCAUUGCAUAUAGGGCAUGUAUCCAACGUUUCAUGCUCUUUGUAGAAUAACAUGCAAUUGUUUUUGCAAGCGUGGAUUUUUUCAUAACCCAAUCCAAGACCGUGCAACACCUUCUGUGCAUGUUUAUGGUCUUUCGGCAAACAAUUGUCCGUCGGAAGCAUUCUCUUGAAAACCCCCAAAAAGUAAUCAAAACACAAGUUCGACAUACGAUACUUUAUUUUUCCGUGCAUUAGCUCCACAAUGGCAGUGAGAACGGAAAACCUCUCGCACCCCGGGUAUAACUCUUGGUUGGCAUUUUUUAACAGUUUUUCAUACUGUUCAAACUCCGCACUGUCUAUUGGUGUAGGCACGUCAUCUUCCCCUUCCUGAUUGAUGUUGGUCGAUGCGAAUGGAAAAGCAUCCUGUAUAAUACCCAUGACUUGAUCAUUAGGAUCCACAAUAGGUUCAACAUUGUCCACUCUCGGGGCAUUUGAAGACGAAGCAUGGUCUACUUGUUCGCCGUGAAGGUUCCAAAUGCUAUAUGUUUCAAUCAUUCCAUUCCUUACUAAAUGAAAUCCAACAUUUUCAAUUGUCUCCCACAACGUGUUGUUACACCUCCUACAAGGACAACGGAUUCUAGUUGCACCCGGGUUGUGUCUACGUGCAAACUCAAUAAAAUCCUCGAUUCCAUCCAAGUAUUCGUCUGCGCAUCUAUUCGGGUUCUGUAUCCACCUUCUGCUCAUAAUUCCUGAAACCACAAUCACGACACAACAAUCACAACAACUUCAUACGAAGUUAUAAUGUCACCUUAUGCCUCCGGUAAGGGCCCUAUCCCAUUCGGGAAUGCAUAGUCCUGUCACGUAACCUACGGCUACAUGAGAUUAGAUUUCGACGUGGAUUAAUUUCAGCAGCAUCUCGACACAGUUCUUGAAGUGGGCAUAGGUAUAAAUACCUACGUACCACCCGAAGAACGUACCGAGAUGACACCGAAAUCUCCACAAUCGAAACCUAAUCCUGUAGCCGAAGAUUAUGUGACAACACUAUGCAUUACCAAACUGUCCAAAUAAUGGGACAAUUCAAGAAUUAAUUGGACCGCAGUCAUGCAUUACGCAUCCAUGCACGAAAUUCAACUAAUCUCGAACGGGAAACUACGUGUUACUAAACAUAAAAAUAAAAGUACGAAGUUAAUUUCAAUUAACUUCGUACAUCACAACACAUUGUGCUAUGUCACGCACAAUUUCACAACAUUAUACACAUAUAACUUCACAAAAAAAUUACAAACAUAACAAACAAACUUUUACAAUAACAUACCUUCUCAAUCGUUCUCCACCAAUCACAAAUAUCCCUAACGAUAACAAAAUUAAUAGCGUUACUACGAAUUUACAUUAAUACAUUUAAACUAACGACAAAAAAUACAUACCCAAUGAACGUACUGAAUUCACAGUAGAGCAACGGCAGAGAGAGUGAGAGAGAGGUAGAAUGCAGUGGGAGAGUGAGAGAGAGGCAGAAUGCAGAAACUGCAUUCUGCCUCUGCAAUGGAACUGGCUAAAAUGAAGAAGAAGGACUUUGCGCGACUAACAAUCCAAUCCGUCGCGCAAAAUGCCGUCGCGAAAACCCACUUUUCCGUCGCACAAAAAAACAUUUCCGUCGCGCAAUUACCUGCCGACAUCAGGUUUUUUGCGCGACGAAUACAAUUAUCCGUCGCACAAACAUCCGUCGCGCAAAUAACAUUAUUCGUCGCGCAAGGUUUAUAUUACGUCGCGCAAAUAACACUUAUUUCGUCGCGCAAGAAAUUACACUUUACGCGACGAAGGUAAUUCCGUCGCGCAAAAAAGUUUUUUCCACCCUGCAUUUUGCCGCCAAAAUUAAGUAACCCUCGUUUUCUUACGCGACGGUACAUAUUUCCGUCGCGCUAAGGCGUCUUUUGCGACGAAAAUGUUCGUCGCGCAAGAUUCUGGCGCCAAAAACAUAAACUGGGGAUUUUUCCCCGACCUUUGCUCGACGAAAUUAGUUUUGGUCGCGCAUAGAUUGUUUGCGCAACGAAGAUUGUUCGUCGCGCUAGUGUUCUGCUGUUUGCGCUACGGUAUUUUUUUUUCGUCGCAAUAGUGAUUUUUGCGCGACGAAAAUAUAUUCGUCGCGCAAACGUCCGUCGCGCAAAUAGUAAAUCGUAGUAGUGUGAUUUGGUUUAGACUUGGUUUAAUUAUCAUUGUUGUGGUUGGUUCACCAAAAAGAUUUGGCUUAGAAUUACCAGUUUUGUUGUUGGUUUAGUUAUGCUUGGCAUUUGAGGAUCCUAUGCUUACUUGUAUGGGUAAUACAUUUUAUUGAUCGUUUCAUAUACUAAUUAUGAACUUUUAGUUCCAUUGUGCAUUUAAGAGUACACAUAUUUCAUAUGUAAUUCGAAAGUUUGUCGCUGAAAUUUCUGAGAAUUUGAAACUAGAUAAGCACACCUUGCACAAAGUUCAUAUAUUUUCUUCCAGCAAGUCUGUCUAUUAACCCCCCUUAUCUGAAAUUAAUUGUUAAAAGUUCUGAUUCAUCUUUAAUCAUUGUCUUACCCUUGUUGAAUAACACUCCUCAUUCUAAUUUAUAUUCGAAGUUUGAGGUUUCAAUUUCAAUUGUGGGCUUUGAUUUUACAGAUUUUGUUUGUCAAUUUCAAUUUGGACAAAGCAUAUGCAAACAAAGUAAGGCAUUAUCUAUUAUUUGGAUCAUUUCCAUAUGUUUAUAUGUUUUUAAUAUCAUUUGCCUAUGUAGUUGACAUGUUAUAACAUUUUCGUAGUGUUGAAUAUAUAUAUAUAAUAAUUUUAUUUUAGUGGAUGUGAGAUCUCAGUUUGUUGCUUUAUAUAAUUAUUUCUUUGCAAUUUAAUUUUUUUUAUCAGUCAUACUAUUGUUGACGGCUAAAAACCAUCAAGAAACAACUCUUAAGUUUUUUAAAAAAUAAAUAAAUAAAUAAAGAUUUGUUGAUGCUUAAAAAGCAUCAAGAAAAGAUAGUUUCUUGACGGUUUUGUGACGUUUCAUAACCGUCAUGAAACAUUACAUUUUGACGAACGUCUUUCUGAUAGUGGCAUCCGUGACGCUUUCCGAGCCAUCAAUUAAGGGCUAUCGUGAUGCUUUUUAGUUGUCAGCAAAAGGUGUUUUUCUUGUACUGUAUUCACUCAAAAUCGUUUUUCAUUUAGGGUUGCUAGUGUGGUUGAAUGCCAUUUGUUUUGUUAAUGAAUAUUAUACAUUAUGGAUUUUUGUAGAAAUGUCGCUUGAAAUUAUACCUCAGUUUCAAUUUGUCACCUUAAAGAAAAAUUUAAGAGAAAUGUCACCUUAAUUUUUCAAAAUCCACGAUUUGUCAUCUCACUUUAACAUCAUCCAAUUUUCCAUCUAUUUUAAGGGUAUUUUAGUCUUUUCAUUUUCAAGGGAAAAAAAGAGAGGAAGAAAAAGACCUCUCUCUUACUUUCUCCCCCAACCCAACCCCACCCGCCCCCCAAAACACAUCGCAUAGGACCGCCUCCCCCUUCCCCACAUUUCUUUUUUCUUUUUGGCCUACUUUUCCACUAUGUUUAUGUUGAAGGAUCUAAAGUUUUCUUGGUCACCAUCUAUUACGUAGGCUACCGACUUGUUGGUUUGGGUGGGUUGAGGGAAUUUGUGUGUGGAGGGCAGGUGUUCAUGUUGUGUGCACCAAGACCUUAUCGUUGAUGAACUAUGUGACGGCACACACACAAACUCGUUGAGAAUAAAACAAACAUACCACCAAGAGAGUAAAACAAACACACAAGGACACAAAGAUUUAUAGAGGUUCGGCCUCCUGCCUACGUCUUUUUGGUGAUUCACUCGAGAAAUUCACUAGUAUGUAAAAAUAACUUUGGUUACAACUGAACCCCCUUAGCCCUCACAAGAACCUUAGAUCUCUUUUCUCUCACCCUUGCUCAAACCCUUUGAUGCCCUUGUAGACACUCAAGAAUUCACCCUUGAAUUCUAUCUUGUGUUACAUCUUCUCUUCUCCCUUUUGUUAACCUAACCCUAAAAGUCCUAUUUAUAAUGCAUAGGACUUAAGUUACAAGUUAACUUGGAAUAGGAAACAUAAAAUACCCCAAAAAUUGGAGAAAAUCUGUCCAAAUCUAGCCUGCAAAAUCAUCCUUCUGCCGCUCGAGCUGCCGGUGGCGCUCAUGGGAUGGGGGAAUUGGAGAUUUUCUUUUCAAUUUUAAUUGUUUAAAAGAUAUACAAUUUUUUAUUAUAAUAAUUUUUCCAUUUUUAAAAUACACUUGAAAAUAGAAAGCUUAAAAUGCCCUUAAAAAUAGAUGGAAAAUUGGAUGGUGUUAAAGUCAGAUGACAAAUCAUGGAUUUUGAAAAAUUAAGGUGACAUUUCUCUGAAAUUUUUCUUUUAAAAGUGACAAAUUGAAACUGAGGUAUAAGUUCAGGCGACAUUUCUACAAAAAUCCCUAUACAUUACAAUAUUAUAACAAUAAAAUUGGCUAAAAUUGAUAUGUUCCCUCUUUUCUUUUCUUUUUCUCUUUUCCUUUUCAUUUUAUGCUUUGUUGCUAUUGCUAUGUUUAUCCUACAAAUAUAGCAACUUCUCCACCAUUCAUUUGUUAGUGACUACGAUGCUUAGUAACUUCUUCAGCUCCCCUUAUUUCCAUGUACUAACCAGGGACACCAGGUCAGCAUCUUCGGUAAGAAUCCUAACUCAAUCAAACAAUGACAUCUGUAAAUAUUCAAAAUUGGAAUUUGCAUUGUGAUAGUUGAAAGCAUCCUUGUCCCAAAAAAAGCCAAAAAAUAAAAUAAAAUUGAGAGCAUUAAGUCCUUUUCAAAUUAUGCUAAUAUGCAAAAUUGGAAUUUUGAUGGAGUUGCUUCCUUGACUUUUCCACCUUUGUAUCCAGUCCACUUUGCACAAGGAGCCAAGUUUGAGAGAUAGUUUUCUGUAUUUACACCAUCCAGGAGAAAAUUAAAAAACUAUUUCAUGCCAAACUAACUACGGAUUCUUGCAAAGGACCCAUUAGUGUAGUGGUUUGGAGUAUUUACUCCCUCAGGCAAGGUCUUGGGUUCGAGUCCUAGCAUUCAUGUUGUGUGUGUGAGUUUAAUAUGCUAUCACCCCUUCCAAUAGGAAAGGACCUCAAAAAAAAAAAAAAAACUACAGAUUCUUUAAUUGAAAGAAACCCCAUAUUAAUCAUCCUUUGGCACAUAAAUGUUUGGUAAUUGGCAUUAAAGUAUCUAAAGGUUACGAAAUUAAAGAUUUUAAUGCAAACCUAAAAUUGGAAAAGAGGGCACCAAUUCAUGUAAAAUAUGGUGUACUUAGUAGAUCCAACAUAUUUUUUUAGCAACCAAGGACAAUCAUCAUUUUUUUUUUUAAGAACCAAGGAUAGCUUACAUUCUAGUUUGUCCAUCAUGUCAACACAUUUAUAAUUAAAACUUCUUUUUUGGUGAGGUUUCAAUUUUUGUCACUGUAACAAGACCACAAUUGCCAUUCAGUAUGCUAACAUUGUCACUAUGUUUGCCAAUUGCAUAUUAUCUAGAACAUAAAGGCUUUGGUGUUUUGUAUAUCCUCGGGGUGCCAAACCUGUCUUUAUAAAAAUGGUCCUUAUGAUACUACUUUAACAACAAAAAAAUAUAAUAAACUAGGCCUUUGUAGUCACUGAACGAAUGUUUUCUCAUAGAUAUGACUAUUUAAAUGUAAUUACGGGAUUAAAACAUUAUAAUAAAUUGGAGUGAACCAUAACAUUAUAUAUGAUCCAAUCCUUUUCAUAUAUUUUUGUUCAAGACUUUGUUUUAGAAUGCUCUUUUACUAAUUUGGUACAGGUCCCUAAAAUCUACGCCUUUAUGAGGCAACGUCUUUAUUUCUUUGGUUAUUCCAGUUUAGAAUAUAUUUGUACAAAUGAGAUGACUCCCAACAUAAAGUCACAUUCAACCAAAAAGCAUGAAGUCACACACAAAAAGAACACGGACAAUUGCUAAGUUUAUCUUGUAUCCUUAUUUUAUUGAUCCAACCCAAUUGAAAAAUAAAAAAGAUGAUAUAAUAUAUUGUUCACUGCUUACAUCCAUGAGUAAAGUCCUCCAUUUGAAAUUGCGUGAUUAUACAAAAUUGGAAUGAAAAAAGAAAAUCCUACAACUAAAUUUGAUAUAUUCCUUUUCAUUUUAUGUUGGAUGUUAAGUUUUCUUGUUUCUUGUUGAAAAGAAAAAUGAAAAGAAAUAAAUAAAUUACACAGCUAGCAACUUCUCCACCUUCCCUUCUUCCCAUGUACUGACAACAAGGGAGGCCUUCAAUCCAAAAUAAAGACAAGGGAUGCCAGGUCAGCAUCUCAGAUAAGUAUCCCAACCAAAACCAAUCAAAUAAUGACAUAUGUAUCUCUUUUUGUGUUUUGUUCUAUUUCUCUUUGAAUUAACUGCGAAGUUUCAUAAGCGUGUCCUCCUUUUGAAAUUGUGUAUUAUUCAAAAUUGGAAUUUGCUGGUCAUACUUGAUAUAAGCUAAAACAGUUUCCAACAUCUUGUACCAUUUUUUUCCAGUGUGGGUCAUAACUUGAAGAAGCCCACCGACAAUUUCUCAAAAGCUAUUACCAUCCAACUUUGAAAAAUAAAAGUUUCAAAAGUUACCCCAAACAACAGCCCUUGAAAGAGAGUUUUCCAAGGCUAAAGAUUACAAGGAUGUUAUUGGCACAUGCAUUAACGUGUGACAAGAAGUUAGUUAUAUUUAUAAAGUAAAAGAACGAAGUACAUAACAUGUAAGUUGAUGCCAAAUAUUUGAUCAACAGAGCUAAACAUAAAACCACGACAAUAUAACGUUGUUCACCAAAAAUUGUGUUUCGUUGAGGGUCAGUAGUGUAGGUUUCAAGAUACGAUUUAUUUUGUUAAAGAAUAUUCUGAUAUUCUAACAAUAAAAUUGGCUCAAUUUGAUAUGUUUCUUUUUUUUUUUGUUUUUGUUUUCCCUUUCAUUUUAUGCUUUGUUGUGCUAUUGCUAAGUUUAUCCUAGAGACCAGGGAUGCUUAGCAAGUUUCUUCACCUGCCCUUCUUCCCAUGUACUAACUAGGGAUACCAUGUCAGAAUCUUAGAUAAGAAUCCCAACCCAAUCAAACUAUGACAUCUGUAAGUAUUCAAAAUUGGAAUUUGCAUUGUGAUAGUUGAGUGGAAGAAUCGAUUAAGGCUUGAGUGGAAGACAAACUUCAGUGGAGGAAAGUAAUUAAUCUCACAAGACAUAGCCCAUCAGUUGGCUCAUUUUUCUUGAGUGUGUAGUCCUGGCCUUGAGGCGAGGCCACAUUGCUUUGGAGAUUUCUUUCUACUUGGUGAAAUUAUAAUUUAGAAGAAGCAAACUGCGUUUUGCAAUUUGUGCGAUUCAAGCAUAUCUGACACUAGUAAUUAGACCAUAAUCUUUGUCCGACCAGAAAAUAAGAAAAGUUGUCUUGUACCAUUUCUGCCAGUGUGGGUCCCACCCACCCCAUACGAGUAAUUUGAAGAAGUCCACCGACAAUUUCCCAAAAGCUUUGGCGUCCAACUUUGCCGACCCCAUCCCCAUGUGAGGCCAUAGAAAAGUUUUCAGCCACAAUCAAAGAAGGGAACAGUCCUUGAAAAGAGAGGGUUUUCCAAGGCCAAGAUUACAAGUUCAUGUUAUUUACAGUCUCAAAAAGCUUCCAUACUUGUUUACAAACCUGUAUUUUCAAGUUGUGCUAGCCUAGCUAUUUGCAAAUCUUGGAAUAUUUUACUUCAUCCAAAUCCCUUGCAGUCUGCAGAGAAGAUAAAAGACAUGGCUUUGAUUGGAGAGGCUCUUAUCUCUGCUUCCGUCCAGGUGUUGUGCGACAGAAUUACUUCACCCGAGUUCGUUGACUUAUUUUGGCACAAGAAACUCGAUGAGCCACUCCUCAGGAAGCUGAGGACGACACUGUUGGCCUUGAACUUGGUGCUCAAUGAUGCAGAGGGGAAGCAACUUGUGAACCGAGAUGUGAAAAAGUGGCUUGACGAGCUCAGACAUGCUGUCUUUGAUGCGGAGGACUUACUGGAUGAGAUUGACACUGAAGCUUUGCGAUGCAAGCUGGAAGAAGGUGAAGAUCAAACUCACAAAUUUACCAAUAAGGUGCGGAACUUGCUCUUUUCUCCUCGUAGUCAUUUUUAUCAGAGCAUGAAUGAUAAGAUAAAAGAGUUACUAGCAAGGUUAGAAAACUUUGUACAACUGAAAAGUGCUCUUGGUCUGGGAGAAGUUGCUGGGAGGAAGGUUUCGCAAAGAACUCAAACAACCUCCUUGGUUCUUGAACCUUAUGUAUAUGGUAGAGAUGAAGUCAAAGAAAAGUUAUCAAAAGUGUUGCUAUCUGAUGAAGCAGGCAAGGAUCCUGUGUCUUUCCUCACCAUUGUUGGAAUGGGUGGGGUUGGCAAGACAACCCUUGCUCGAAUGCUUUACAAUGACGAUAAGGUGAAAGGGCAUUUUAAACUUAAAGCUUGGGCUUGUGUUUCAGACUACGAUGAUUAUAUUAAAAUUACUAAAACUCUCCUUGAGGCAGUCACUUCAAAGCCUUGUAACACGGCAAAUCUGAAUUUGCUUCAAAAAGAUCUAAGAGAGCAAUUGAGGGGAAGGAAAUUUUUAUUUGUGUUGACCUAUGGAAUGAGAAUAAUGAGGAUUUGAACUACCUUAGAGCUCUUUUUAUUACUUUAGGAACAAUGGGAAGUAAAGUCAUUGUAACAACACGGAACAAAAAUGCAGCAUCUGUCAUGCAAAAUGUUCAUAUUCAAUACUUAGAACCAUUGUCGUAGGAGGACUGCUGGUUAUUACUUGCAAAACAUGCAUUUGGAAAUGAAAAGUGUAGUGCACAUUCAAACUUGGAAGACAUUGGAAAGCAAAUUGCACUCAAGUGCAAAGGGUUGCCUUUAGCUGCACAAACACUUGGGAGUUUGUUACGUUGCAAUAUGGAUUUCGAGUACUGGAAUAGAAUACUAAAUGAUAGUUUUUGGGACCAACCCUAUGAUAAAACUAACAUUCUUCCGGCUCUAGGGUUGAGUUACCAUUAUCUUCCUACUCAGUUGAAACGAUGCUUUGCUUAUUGUUCAAUUUUUCCAAAGGAUUAUGAGUUUGAAAAGGAAGAUAUAGUUCAAUUAUGGAUUGCAGAAGGUAUAAUUCCACAAGCUGAGAAUGGAAAAAGGAUGGAAGCAUUGGCUAGAAUAUACUUUGAUGAGCUGUUAUCACGAUCGUUGUUUCAAAAGUCAAGUAAAUUCAGCUUCAUUAUGCAUGAUCUCAUUAAUGACUUGGCUAUGUUCAUGUCUCAGGGGUUUUGCCUUAGGCUCGAAGAUGGGGUAUCCCGUGAAGUUAAAAGAGCUCGUCAUUUGUCAUAUGCUAGGGGAGAAUUUGAUGCUGCUCCAAGAUUUGAACCAUUAUAUGAGGCUAAAUGUUUGCGGACCUUCCUACCUACCAUUUGUUGUGGGCAAAUCUACUGGAUCAGGCAUAAGAGAACUGAGGCAGUUCCCGCAACUUCGAGGAAAACUAUCAAUUUUGAAGCUACAAAAUGUAGUUGAUGCGAGGGAUGCACUGCACGCCAAUAUGAAGCACAAGAAAGAUCUCAAGGAGUUAGAGCUUUCAUGGGGUGCGGAGGAUGCUGAUGAUUCCCAAAAGGAGAAAGAUGUACUCGACAAGCUCCAGCCUUGCGUGAAUUUGGAGAAAUUAACCAUCAAAUUCUAUGGUGGAACUAAUUUUCCGAAUUGGUUAGGAGACUCGUCUUUUUCUAACAUACAAGUCAUGCAUCUCAGUGACUGUAGUUAUUGUUGGUCGCUCCCACCAGUUGGACCGCUACCGGCACUCAAACAGCUCUGUAUAAGAAGAAUGAAGUUUGUGAAGACGAUUGGCGUUGAAUUCUAUGGCAGAAAUGGAGCUUAUCUGACUCAGCCAUUUCGAUCUCUGGAGAAGCUAGAGUUUAGGGAGAUGCCAGAGUGGGAGGAAUGGGUACCAAGUGGAAGUGCAAGUGGAGGUGAAUAUGGUCCAGACUUUCCUCGUCUCCAGGAGCUGAUUCUAUACGAGUGUCCGAAGCUAAGAGGAAGUUUGCCUUGUGAGUUGCCUUGCUUGAAGAAGCUUACGGUGUAUGGGUGUAAGGUUUUACAUGAUGGAAGGGCCAUUACCGCAACUACCAAUAGUCUUAACUAUAAAUCUCUGGAAGAAUUGAAUAUAAGUGGUGGAUGCCAAACUCUGUUAUCAUUAUUAGAGACAAAGCUCCUGUCCGGACUUGAGAUUCGAAAUGUUGUUGACAUACAGUGCUUGCCCAACUGCAGUCGUCUUCAACAUUUGACUCUUUCGAAUUGUCCAACGCUGUCAUCAUUUCCCAAAGAUGGCCUACCCACUACAUUGACAUCACUUUAUAUAAACAAUUGUAGGAAAUUAGAAUUCCUACCUCAUGAGAUGUUGGCCAAAUUAACAUCGCUUGACUAUUUGUGCAUACAAAAUAGCUGUGAUUCAAUGAGGUCCUUCCCGUUGGGCAUUUUUCCCAAAUUGACGAGGCUUGAAAUUCGUGGUUGUGAGAAUCUGGAAUCCCUUUCCUUGAUUGAAGAAGAAGGAGCUGUUGAGAAUCUCAGCCAUCUCAAUUACUUGCAAGUCUAUAACUGUCCAAAAAUGGUGUGUUUUCACGAGGGAGAAUUGCCCACUCCCAACCUGAGUCACUUUGUAGUCGGUGGUUGCGAGAAUUUGAAGUCAUUGCCCAAAAGCCUUCACACCCUCACUGCCCUUCGAUCUUUGUCGAUAUGUAAUCUUCCGAAUCUGGAGUCAUUUGCAGAAGAUGGGGGUUUGCCUCCCAACCUCCGACAAGUAAGUAUUAGGAAUUGUGAGAGACUGAGGGCUUCAUCAGUGGGUUUGCAAGCACUUGACUCCCUUGAGAUCAGUGGAAGUGACCAUGUAUUCUCUAUCACACUCUUCACAUCUAUUCUCUAUCAACUCUGAAAUCUUUGGACGGAAAGGGUCUUGGACACCUCACUUCUCUUCAAGAGCUAGAUAUUAACAGGUGUCCAAGUCUGGAAUUCCUGCCAGGAGAGGAACUUCAACACCUCACUUCUCUUCAAAAUCUAUACAUUUGGAACUGUCCCAGUCUUCAAUGCUUGCCAGAAGAGGGUUUUCCAUCAUCUCUUUCUCAUCUGAGUAUCCGCCGGUGUCCUACCCUGGAGGAAAGGUAUAAGAAUAAAACGGGACGAGAUUGGGCCAAGAUAUCUCACAUUCCUUGCAUCGAGAUAGGCAACGAAGUGAUCAUAUAAUAUGAGCUAUUCCAUAUUUCACGCUCAACCCUCAACUCUCAAAUCAAAGUCAGGUGAGGUAUGUGCCUUCUCUUACUUUAAAAAACUGCUGCUCAAUAACACUCUUCGCACUCUAUAUAUUAUGGCCUGUCAGUCUAAAAUUCCUGCCAGGAGAGGAACUUGAACGCCUCUCUUCACUGCAAAGGCUACAUAUUUGUGGGUGUGACAAUAUCCAAUUCCUGCCAGAAGAGCGUUUGCUGCAAUCUCUUUCUUAUCUGUGCAUCGACCAUUGUUUUGCCAUGUAGAAAAGGUAUCUCACAUUCCUUGCGUCAAGAUAGGUGAAGAAGUGAUCAUAAGAUAUGAGCUCUCUCUCCCUCUCGCUCACAUACAAAGUACUUAAAACACUCAAUCUGAUUUCUAUUAUUAUUUUGCUCAGUAAAUUUUGUUUAAAUUUGCUUUGUUUCUCAUUGCGCUUGUUCUGCUUAUCACAACUUAUAUCCUAUUUAAAUCUCAAAUGCUGAAUAGUUAGCAGUCUUUUCGCAGGACAGCAUAUCUUCUCUUGGAGAGCUAUUCAUUUGCAAGGUUUCUUUAUGUGUCAUUUCCAGAGGAGGGUUUACUAUUUAAUAGAAAGGUUCACCUGGAAUAUCUCAAAUGACACAUUCCCAAAUACAGGCAUUGAAUGCACAACAUUUUGAGGUACUAUUUUUGUAAUAAAAAUGUACUUGAGUCUCAUUUGAGCUAGUUUAAAUUGUAUUCAAUGUCUAUGGAUAACCUGUGAGCUUAAGUUGUAAGAUAAAACUCACAGUAUAUUAUUAGGGUUUAGGGUUCAACAGGUGAGCUUAAGUUGUACUUUCCUAGGUACUGCAUGUAUAUUAUCUUAGUAUCAACACUUGGUCUUAUGUGGACGAGAGAGAACAUUUGAGGAAUUACAAAAUCUUCUUAGUGAAUUAAGCUUGUUUCAGCUCUGUUUGUCAUCCCUCACAUUUUCUUUGUUAAGCCUUGAUUUUUUAUUAGACAUACGAAAAAAUGCUUUUAUAAGACAGGAGAUGAAUGCUUUUAUAUGUUGAUGUCGUAGUCAGUCUUCAACCACACUCUGUUUUUAGAAUUCAUUUAUGUUACUAGUUGAGAGCUGCUGUAUUUUAUAUUUCGUUCCUGUAAUGUUUGGAUGUUUAGCUUGAGCAGUCUAGCUUAUCCAGUAGAUAACUUGUCCCCUGUUUUGUAAUGUUUUUGUUUCCUCUAAUGAAAGCAGGUUUUACUUAUCUUGAACUGCAGAAGCCUACUUUUUGACAUAGGUGGCAUGGCACAAACUCGCAUCCGCAUUUCCAUCCCCAUUGGCAUGCUGUCUCAUCUUUUCUAUUCUGUUACCAGCUUGAAGCUUGUGUGGACAUGUUAUGCUCUUGUAAUUCUGAUCACAAACAUCACUUGACAAAUGGAAAGUCACAAUCAGAUCUUUCAGGUGAUCUGGAGGUUUACUUUCUAACAUUUGUUUUCGUGGGGGGGAGACAACAAUACAGAAUUUAAAAUUUCUGAUAAUCAAUAGUAGUUUGCAUAUAUCAGCUGGGACCUGUAUGACUGUAUUAUGUAAUUAAUUAUUUCUCUUAUUGUUUGGGUACUGUUAAAAGGAGUUAGCCACACAACAUAAAAAAGGAGGUCUCUUAUUUCAUACAAUUUUUCAAAUGUGAUCAUUAAUCCGUUUCUUUUUCAACAAUAGAGGAAUGUAUACUAAUCGUCUGGUCCAUCUGCUGCUUCACUCCCUAGUAGCUUCAUCUCCUGUCCUUUGCUUUAUUUCUGUUGAUGAAUGUUUUGUCUGGGUUAUUUAUUUUCAUUUCAUGUCCAUUGCUUUAUUUCUGUUUGGAUUCUUAAUUAAAUCUGUCCUGGACUUGAACAAGGGUUAGGUUAGCUGUAUAAUUUGCGGUUUUAUAUACACAACUGUCUACAUUGAUUAAAACCAGCAUUAUUCUAAGGUUCAUUUAGAAUGUAUUAUCACCAAAAUUAUAAAGAAUACUUCUAUUACAAUUAAUUUGUUGAUUCUAAUUUGGACUUGUAGGAACAGACCAAACAUGUUCAUGCGUGGCAUUGCUCAAGUCAUCAUCAUUCGAGACAGAGAAUAAGCCUUCAAGUGUCUGCUGAGUCAAUGAACCUUUCUAGAUAUCUCAAGUGUAAUGGAAAUUGAUGAGUUACAAAGGAUUUGUAAACAUUUUCUACUGGAGGCUAGAAAUGCUUCAAAUAAAUGACCGUGUUGCAAUUAUUUUGUAGGAUCAAAGACUCUGCAAAGAGGU